Molecule: non-coding RNA, 103 nt
Filed under: Clostridium tetanomorphum
Lineage: Bacteria; Bacillati; Bacillota; Clostridia; Eubacteriales; Clostridiaceae
Description: SAM-I sequence
Rfam family: SAM riboswitch aptamer (S box leader)
About the family: The SAM riboswitch is found upstream of a number of genes which code for proteins involved in methionine or cysteine biosynthesis in Gram-positive bacteria. The SAM riboswitch acts at the level of transcription termination control.
Source: Rfam by way of RNAcentral
UCCUUAUCAAGAGAAACUGAGGGACUGGCCCUAUGAUGUUUCAGCAACCGCAUAAUUGUGCAUGGUGCUAAAUCCAGCAGAACUUUGUUCUGAAAGAUGAGGG